CAUCAAACCUGUUCCGUAUCAAGGCCUUCAAUUAUCAUGAUUUAUAUCGAUUUAUUCGACUUUGAUAUAAAUCAUGAUAAUUGAAGGCCUUGAUACGGAACAGGUUUGAU
Molecule: non-coding RNA, 110 nt
Organism: Cinara cedri
Lineage: Eukaryota; Metazoa; Arthropoda; Insecta; Hemiptera; Aphididae
Source: the annotation of a GenBank genome assembly